CAAUCUCAUCAUUAGCCAGGGAGAUCUGGCUAAAGGCAAGUGUGGGCCGAGAAGCAGCGGCGUCUGAGGUGCACAGGUACUUCCCAAGGACUCCCAGUUCUCGACAGAUUGUAGCACAAGGCGGAAGGAAAUGCGCUCGUUCUCCCACUCUCUAGGACCAUUUGCUAGCUAACCUUGACAUUGCCCAGAGUGUGGGCUUUGGGCCCAGCUCGGUGGGAUCCUCUUGUUAUCGUCAGCGUACCAUAGAGGAUUAGCAACUCGGGGGCUUGUUUGGCAACUUGUUUCCAACACAGAUGCGUCUAUUUUCAAGCAGUCCGCAUCACAGCCUGGCCAUUCUUGUAACAAGCAACCCAGUCGGCCUGCCAGGAGCCGCUCGUGCCAGUGAGGCAGUUCGCGAGAACUCGGCCUCUGGGAACAAACUCCAGGCGGACAUCUGCCCAGCUGGAGCCAACGCUCUGGUGAAAUGGACUAAGCUAGUUUAUUGGGACUUUGCUGCGACUGAAUACGGUGUUUUGAAUGAGAUUUCAUUGAAAUUUAAAUCUCAUUUGUAAUGUCUUGAGGCUAAGACUUUCCAAAUGGAGGAGAUAAAUGAGGUGGCUCAUACCCCGGUGAGGAAUGGAAUCGCUGCCUUGAGUGUCGCAGACUCAGCCUGUGCCCUGCGUCUGCCUGGUCACUGUGGCAGCAGCCGGUAUUCUUAAAGAGGCUUUCAGCUCCAGGGGGAUCAAGCGACCAAGCAGUCCUGGAUGAUCCUCCCAGCUCUGAUGUUCCUGAACUGUGUGAACCAAAGCCAGGCAGCAGUAACAGGCUGGCCUCCCUCUGGAGCUUUACUGAAAGAGGGCUGCUGUGAUCCUCUCUGUUCCAGAAGAGAUUCCACCAAAACCCAUUCUUCAAUCCUUGAUCCAGAAGCUUCGAGCCGAGUGACCUGCCUGCCAAUUGGAGAGCAGCUUGGGACGAUAGGAAGACUUUACAAAAGUCUCUAGUGCUGAGCGAUCUGCUGGGCUGAUGCUGAGGCUGGAAGGUUGAGAACAACAGUUCCCAGGUCAGUGUGUGCUAACACACCACAGCCAUUACACAAUUUGCAAUGGACUUUGAAAUCAGCCCAUUGGCCAAAUCUGAAAUGUCCUAUUAGAUUUACCUUUGUUGAAGGGCAGCCGCCUCUAAAAUAUUUGCUCAGGAUCUUGAAUGUACACAUAUUUACGGAGUCACAAAAGCACUCUCCCUUCUUACAUCCCUGUCCCUCGCCAGCCCAACACCCCGACCCCCACAUCCACAUCCGUAAUUGAUGGGUUUUCUGAAGCGUUUGCUCAUAAUACCUAAACUAAAGGAGUGUAUCCCCGGUGGGUCUGUCCUGUGUCCUACGGCCCCCUUUCCCAUAUUCAAGACAAAUGGGGAAGUGGUGGCUCAAAGUUCCCAGAGUUACAGCCCAUGUUUUGAUAAAGUACAAUUAUUCCACCUUGGGAUAUUUCAGUUCAUCUGGGAAGACUUUCUAUUAUGGAUUGUAAGUAGCACGAGCAUUCUACCUGAUGAGCCCAAAUCCAGACACGAGCUGCUAAUUUUCCGAUGAAAGCAUCAGGGCUGAGGGCUCUUUUAGCUCUCAGAGGCCCCACAUGAGGUUCCUCAAGGUAAUCAUGAUUAAAAAGAGGGUUCAAGGCAGAAACUUGACAAAUCUAGGCAGGGCUAGGCCUCUGGGUAAAAAAAGCAAAAUGUUUCUCUUCUUUGGAGAAAAUGUUUGAUGGUCAUGCCCAUCAACGGCUUCCAUGGCUAGUGGUUCAGAUGGCUCAGUCUCCUCCAGGGAAGGGCUAGAAGGGGGAGGAUGCACUAAGGGCCAGAAAGCAGGGAGCCAGGUCUCAGAAACAUUUCCUGAGCCCCUACUGUGGGCCCAGCACCAUGAUGGGAUUGUGGGAGACCAGGCCGCCAUGAUGGAUUGGAUGAAGAUUGGGAAGUAGACUGGAAGAUAAAUGAGUGAGGCAAGUGCCUCAAUGCUGUAACAGGCCAAGGACUCUGAAUAGGGCCCCAUGCAGACCAAAGGUGGGCACAGGAGCCCUGGGCUUUUAUUCUUCCGGUCCAGUGCCAGCUCAGAACAGGGAUGGGUGACAUGACUGUGACCUGCUUUUGGAUGUCUCCUCUUGACACAGGAGAGAUUCACCCCAACUCCAUGCAUCACAUUUUCUCUCCCACCUCCUGUCCAGGAUCUUUAUUAUGAACACCCUAGGAGCAGGAAAUGAGAUGGCAUUAGACAGCAAAUCUACAAAGGGGACUUUUCCUCUGGCCACUCUCUGGGGAGGCUGAUGGGGUGAGGAGGCUGAUGGGGUGAGGGAAGAGGAAAUGCAAUUUCAAUGGCCCCUCAGAGUCUUUUAAGAAAUUUAAAAGAACUAUUGAGAAGUGCUGGGGAGGGGGCUAGUGGUAGAAUGUGCAAAGAGGUAAGGGCACCCCUGAAAGGAGUAAAAAUCACCCUGUUAGGCUAGAAUGUAAAUACAGCCUUUGCAUUAAUAAAACACUCAAUGAAAUGAAUAAUUUAGUCUAGCCAUGCCUUUUGUUUUGAUCCUAAGUGGGAAGACUGCAGC
Equus quagga is the source of this 2564-nucleotide long non-coding RNA. RefSeq lists it as uncharacterized. NCBI's taxonomy places the organism in Eukaryota, Metazoa, Chordata, Mammalia, Perissodactyla, Equidae. The transcript is spliced from 3 exons. The record is from RefSeq and is a predicted model, not a curated record.